Long non-coding RNA from Lagopus leucura (white-tailed ptarmigan), 840 nucleotides. RefSeq lists it as uncharacterized. The transcript is spliced from 5 exons. The record is from RefSeq and is a predicted model, not a curated record. Lineage: Eukaryota; Metazoa; Chordata; Aves; Galliformes; Phasianidae.
CUGCAACUUUUUGAGAGGAAUUCUCUCCCUCUUCCUCCAGAUCAGCAAAGGCAGUGUCUUGCAAACUCUACAAGGUCAUAUAUAUGCUUCUCCUGGGAGAAAUACAUACAGGAACUUGAAUCAGACUCAGCGCUCUCAAAGAUCCUUAAGACACGAACAGAUUUGUCCAGGGAACAAGUGGCAACAAUGGGUCUUCGAAUACAGACGUCCAGACCCGUGAUUGAAGCAGAAUGUAAUGGGAAAUGUAGAUAUUCAAAAUGACUUGAUUCUUCCUGAGAAAAAUGAUAACAUUAAAAAAAAAAAACAAACAAAUGUUUCCCUGUGGGCAGUAAAUCAGGAUCUGACAUGUAAUGAAGAUGUGACCUUCCAGGCCCAGAAUGUAAAGGCUUGACCAGAUCAGAGUAAAAUGCCCUUAUCCUGAUACCACAACUUCCUUCUCGUUGGUCUUCUCAAACAGAAGAACCACUCCUGGGCUAGAUGAACAUGCAAAGCCUUUGGAAUAAGCUACAACUGCAGAUAUUUGAGGCAGAGAAUCCUGUAAUGAACCACUGUCUUCAGAGGUUGGUUCACCAGAGACAUCAGAACAACUGCAAGCAAGAAAUGUAUAAAGUCUUCAGAAUAAAAGAGACAAAACAAAAAUGUUUAUUAGCAGCAUCAAAAAUGUUAUAACCUAUUCAUGAACUGGACAAGAAAGAAGUGAAUGGCCUGCAACAAGUCUUCAUGCACAAGUAUUCUGCAAAGAUUUACCUCUCAUAAUGCUUUGCUCGUGUACCUUCUUCCAGUUCCUUGGGUGGUUUUCUGUAUUCUACAUCUCUCUGCCAGAGCAGCUCUCCAGUUUCA